GAUGAACGCUGGCGGCGUGCCUAAUACAUGCAAGUCGAGCGAACAGACGAGGAGCUUGCUCCUCUGACGUUAGCGGCGGAAGGGUGAGUAACACGUGGAUAACCUACCUAUAAGACUGGGAGAACUUCGGGAAACCGGAGCUAAUACCGGAUAAUAUAUUGAACCGCAUGGUUCAAUAGUGAAAGACGGUUUUGCUGGCAUUUAUAGAUGGAACCGCGCCGCAUUAGGUAGUUGGUAAGGUAACGGCUUACCAAGGCGACGAUGCGUAGCCGACCUGAGAGGGUGAUCGGCCACACUGGAACUGAGACACGGUCCAUACUCCUACGGGAGGCAGCAGUAGGGAAUCUUCCGCAAUGGGCGAAAGCCUGACGGAGCAACGCCGCGUGAGUGAUGAAGGUCUUCGGAUCGUAAAACUCUGUUAUUAGGGAAGAACAAAUGUGUAAGUAACUAUGCACGUCUUGACGGUACCUAAUCAGAAAGCCACGGCUAACUACGUG
Molecule: ribosomal RNA, 497 nt
Filed under: uncultured bacterium
Lineage: Bacteria
Description: partial 16S ribosomal RNA
Rfam family: Bacterial small subunit ribosomal RNA
Source: RNAcentral